This is a long non-coding RNA of Pieris rapae (cabbage white), 985 nucleotides long. RefSeq lists it as uncharacterized. The transcript has 2 exons. The record is from RefSeq and is a predicted model, not a curated record. Lineage: Eukaryota; Metazoa; Arthropoda; Insecta; Lepidoptera; Pieridae.
AGGGGAACCGAGGGUAAUGGGAGCCAGAGGGUAAUGGGAGCGAUGCGCCUAAAGACUAAACUACAGCUCGUAUUUACUGAGUUGCCACUUUGGCCCUUUCGGCACACUGCGUUUGUGUCCCCCCGUGCCGCUCGACUCGCCACUGCCACGUGUUAUGUGACCCCGAACGCUUGUCAAUUUUGUAGUCCGCGCUUAUAAAAAAUACGAAAUUUCAAAUUGCCAGAUAUCAAAAUGCCAAGAAAACGAGAACGCACCACUAUGAAAGCAUCUUGGACCGUAGAAACGUUAGAAAAUGCGGUCCAAAAAAUUCAGCGUGACGGUACAUCAGUAUACAAGGUAUCAAUAGAGACAGGAAUACCCUACAGCACCUUGAAAAAAAGAUUCAGAUUGGCUAAGGUCAAUGAUGCUAGCUACAGGCGUCCUCCUAAACUAGGAAGGCCAUCUGUGUUCACUGAGGAACAAGAAUUAAUUCUGGCUAAUCACCUACAUACAAUGUCAAAAAAAAUUUACGGACUGACGAGGGCUCAGUUUUGUAAAGUAUGCUACGCCAUGGCUGAAAGAUUUGGUGUCGCAGAUCGAUUUAAUGAAAUCAAGAAGUCUGCGGGCAGAGACUUUCUAACUGGCUCUUUUCAACGACAUCAUGAUUUAAGUAUUAGAAAGCCAGAAGCGACAAGCAUCAAUAGGAUACUUGGGUUCAAUAAAGCUGAAGUGGAUCAAUUCUUUGAAAAUUUGGAAAAAGUCAUGACAAAAUACCACUUUCCACCAUCUCAAAUUUACAAUAUGGAUGAGACUGGCGUAACUACGGUUCAGGAUACAGAAAAGAUUAUAGCGCCUAGGGGUCAAAAACGUAUAGGAGCAGUCACGUCAUGGGAAAGAGGUAAAAACGUAACCACUAUCUGUGCUAUGAGUGCUUCAGGGUCGUUCAUUCCGCCUCUUUUUAUUUUCCCUCGACAGCGUCACUCACCACAGCUAGAAAAAGACGGUC